Molecule: transfer RNA, 73 nt
Filed under: Bos taurus (domestic cattle)
Lineage: Eukaryota; Metazoa; Chordata; Mammalia; Artiodactyla; Bovidae
Also listed under: 5 other names
Rfam family: tRNA
About the family: Transfer RNA (tRNA) molecules are approximately 80 nucleotides in length.
Source: Rfam by way of RNAcentral
UCCAUGGUAGUCCAGUGGCAAAGACUCCAUGCCUUCAAUGCAGGGGGCCCAGGUUCAAUCCCUGGUCAGGGAA